Long non-coding RNA from Eptatretus burgeri (inshore hagfish), 1556 nucleotides. Lineage: Eukaryota; Metazoa; Chordata; Myxini; Myxiniformes; Myxinidae. The record is from Ensembl.
AUGGGACAGCUAAAACUACCACAGCGCAUCCUCAUUGAAACGCACAUGUCGUACGAAGCACGCACAGGUCAGGGCACGUCACCAGGGGUCAGGACCAGACACCGAGCACGGGUCAGAGGACCAGACACCGAGCACGGGUCAGAGGACCAGACACCGAGCACGGGUCAGAGGACCAGACACCGAGCACCCCCCCCCCCCCCCCCCCCCCCCCCCCCCCCCCCCCCCCCCCCCCCCCCCCCCCCCCCCCCCCCCCCCCCCCCCCCCCCCCCCCCCCCCCCCCCCCCCCCCCCCCCCCCCCGAGCACGGGUCAGAGGACCAGACACCGAGCACGGGUCAGAGGACCAGACACCGAGCACGGGUCAGAGGACCAGACACAGAGCACCAGACACAGAGCACGGGUCAGAGGACCAGACACCGAGCACGGGUCAGAGGACCAGACACCGAGCACGGGUCAGAGGACCAGACACAGAGCACCAGACACAGAGCACGGGUCAGAGGACCAGACACCGAGCACGGGUCAGAGGACCAGACACCGAGCACGGGUCAGAGGACCAGACACAGAGCACGGGUCAGAGGACCAGACACAGAGCACGGGUCAGAGGACCAGAGACAGAGCACGGGUCAGAGGACCAGACACAGAGCACGGGUCAGAGGACCAGACACAGAGCACGGGUCAGAGGACCAGACACAGAGCACGGGUCAGAGGACCUGCCAGACACGGGGGGGGGGGGGGGGGGGGGGGGGGGGGGGGGGGGGGGGGGGGGGGGGGGGGGGGGGGGGGGGGGGGGGGGGGGGGGGGGGGGGGGGGGGGGGGGGGGGGGGGGGGGGGGGGGGGGGGGGGGGGGGGGGGGGGGGGGGGGGGGGGGGGGGGGGGGGGGGGGGGGGGGGGGGGGGGGGGGGGGGGGGGGGGGGGGGGGGGGGGGGGGGGGGGGGGGCCCAGCCAACACGGGUUCGGACCAGUCUGCAAAAGACAAUAAUUGUGAAAAUGAACCACACAACCAUCUUUGCAAAGGUUCUCAGGAUACAAUGAAAGUACCGAUCAUUAAAACCUCGUAUUCACCACUUUGAGGAAAAACGAGAUAUAAAUCACCGGUGGAAGCCACCCUUACUCAAUGUGCAGGUUCGUUCCCGUUCUUGUGUUCCUUAUAAAAGGCUCAAGCAAGGUCGAGCUUUUUCUGCGUCGCAUCCAGCUGCUGCUGCAGCCGCUUCUUGCGCCAAUCGAGGAAUCGCCGACGCAGCUUGUUUCCUUGCCAACCAAUUAUCACGCCGGCUGUGAAGGAAAGAGCCACGCACACUAUCACCGACCUCUCACUCACGUCUCUCAUCGUGCGGGGACACUUCCGCCUUGUUUACGUCACUUCCGCACUUCCGCCUUGUUUACGUCACUUCCGCCUUGUUUACGUCACUUCCGCAUUUGCUUCUUUUUUUUCCCCUUCAUUCCCAGAUGAUUUCUCUUGAUGAUGCUCUCGAUUCAAUGGGAGAGUUUUCAGUUGUUUCUCAGAUAGAGAUUUGAACUGUAAACGACGAUACUUGAACAUACAAAGCUCACUUGAGAC